Molecule: long non-coding RNA, 2661 nt
Filed under: Zea mays
Lineage: Eukaryota; Viridiplantae; Streptophyta; Magnoliopsida; Poales; Poaceae
Description: long non-coding RNA (ZMAY_LNC002387)
Source: RNAcentral
GAACCAAUAAUUUAGUAGCACCAUAUAGAAAUAAUAAAAUUUGCCUAACUAAAUAGUUACAAAUAUAUAUAAUUGGUUCCAAUAUAAUAUUUUUAUAAUCAUGAUAAUAUAUUAAUUCAGUUCAACAUAUGCAUAAAUUUCACUUACUCAUAGGAGUAUGUACUAGAAGAUUACUUAUUUUUCUUUGGUCUGCAGUUUCUGAUGGUAAAAGAAGUCUUGAUUACAUCUUCUUCAUCCAGUUGAAAGAAAACAUCUCGCUCAAUAUAUGUGAGUAGACAGUCAUCCAAAAGGCUAUCACCCAUCUUAUUUCUCAACUUACUUUUGAUGAAUGUCAUCGCAGAAAAUGCCCUCUCAACACCUGCUGUUGCCACAGGUAGAAGUAAUACUAAUUUGAGAAGCGUGUAUACUAAGUCAUAAACUUUAUGUCUCUUUGUUUGAACAAGCUUCAAUGACAGAUCAACAAGAUUUUCUAGGCCUUCAAAUAAAACAUCUUUUUUUUAUGUCAGUAAUAAAGUUACCCAACUGCAAUUCAAGUUUUAGUAAAUUGGUACCAAAUAUGUCCUUUGAAUAAAAAUCAGCAAGUCUGCUUAACUUCUGUGCAUCAAAAGAAGCAAAUGAGUCUUUAGGAUUGAAUGCCGACAUACAAGAAAGUAACUCCAUAUUAACCUCAUCAAAGCGAUUGUCAAGCUCUUGACUAAUUUGAUCAAUAACCCCAAUAUAUACUUCUCUUCUGAAGUGAUCAUCAUUUGUUUGGUUUUUGGCAAACCGAGCUGAUCUUCCAUAAGGCACAUAAUUAUUCUCCAUGAUAGGAACAUGGACAUCAUGUUUGUUGCAAAAUAAAGUGACCUUUUCAAGGAAUUGACUCCAUCCACUGGACCUUAAUUCUUGCAUUCUAUCCUUUGCCGCUCUAAUAAGUGAGACUGCAUUUAUAAUAUCUUGCUCCCUUCUUUGCAAUCACUCUGAUAAUUCAUUAAUGUAUCCCAAAAUGAUAAACAUCAAGUGUGUACUAAAAAUAUAAUCAAAUGACUCCAAUACUCCAACCAUAGUAUGUAUUUUUGGCCAAUCACUCUUUUGUGAAGUAUCAUUACCAAGAGAGAUGAGUACAUCACGUAUUGUGGGAUACAUACCAAUAAUGUUGACAACAGUUUUGUAGUGGGAUCCCCAACGAGUCUCGCCUGGUCUAGGCAAUCCCAUCUCUUGAUUUAAUCCACUUCCAGUUUGAAGUUCACCACAAUCAAUUGCUUUCAUGACAUUAUCAAGUCUUGCAUCUCGAAUCAUGCCAUGACGUUUACAAGAAACACCAACAAUAUUCAGCAAAAGAGACACUUGGUCAAAAAACCAAACACAGUCACUAUUCCCCUUGGCAACAGCAACAAGAACUAAUUGAAGUUGAUGAGCAAACCAAUGAAUAUAAUAAGCAGAUGGUGACUCUUGCAUGAUCAAUGUUUUGAGCCCUUUAACCUCUCCCUUCAUGUUGCUAGCACCAUCGUAACCUUGCCCACGAAUUUGAGUCAUAGUCAAACCAUUCAUUACAAGUAAAUCCUCAAUUUCUUUCUUAAGUGACAAAGAAGUAGUAUUAUCUACAUGAACAACUCCAAGAAAAUGCUCACAUGGUCUACCUAAUUUAUCAACAAAACACAAGCAAAGAGCAAGUUGUUCUCUAUGUGAUAUGUCACUAGACUCGUCAGCUAGAAUUGCAUAGGGCUCAUCACCAAUUCCUUCAACAAUUUUCUUCCUAGUUUCUAGGGCACAACACUGAAUAAUUUGUUUCUGUAUUUCAGGACUGGUUAAAGUGCAAUUACCUGGAGCAUUUUUCAAGACAUGCUUAUUCACUUCUUCACUAUUUUCUGCAAUAAAUUUCAGAAGUUCAAGAAAAUUCCCUCUGUUGCUAGAUUCUUCACUUUCAUCAUGUCCACGAAAUGCCAACCCUUGAUGCAAAAGAAACUUCAAACAUCUAAGUGAAUAAGCCAAUCUGAUCUUAUAGAGAUAAAGAUCAUCAUCACUCCAUUUGUCAAUACAAUUAUCAAUUGCAACAUUGGGAUUAACAAAGCCAUUGUAUCUCUCUUGAGCUGCAGCGUGUGCCUUAGAACCUUCAUGUUUAAGAAGUGCUUUGUCUCCUAUAUUCCAAUUUCUCCAACCACUUGUAGUAAAUGUAUCUGCCCCACUGCCUUUCUUAAACAAGUAGCAUACAAGACAAAACACAACAUCCUUUUUGACACUAUAUUCAAGCCAAUGAUAAUUAUAAAACCAUACCACAUUAAAGUGACGAUCUCUAUCUCCGAUCUUCCUUUUUGGAAAAUCAUGCCCAUAACAUUUGAAUGGACCUUUAAGUAUAUAUGUUCUUCGAAUUGAAUCUUGAUCAUUAACAUGAUAACUUUGAAUGGGUUGCCUUUCACCUGGAUCAAGUUGGAGACGAUUGAUGUCAUAGCCUGAAGGUGGUGCUGGUGUGAAUAACACUGAUCGGAUAGACAAUUGUUCUUCAAUUUGUCGCUCUUGAGGUUGCUCUUCUGUCUCAGCUGCAGCUGGACAUGGGAAAGGAGAUGGCAUAGCAACACUAGCAAGAGCCUUCUUUGCUGCAUGUUUCUGGAAAAGAGAAGCGAUAUCUCCUGUCCUCUUCAUAAUUUAUCUCAUUAACUGUAUAGGAAUACAAACUUAUUAAGG